CCUACGGGUGGCAGCAGUGAGGAAUAUUGGUCAAUGGGCGCGAGCCUGAACCAGCCAAGUAGCGUGAAGGAUGACUGCCCUACGGGUGGUAAACUCCUUCUAUAAAGGAGUAAAGUGAGGCACGUGUGCCUUUUUGUAUGUCCUUUAUGAAUAAGGAUCGGCUAACUCCGCACCAGAAGCCGCGGUAAUACGGAGGAUCCGAGCGUUAUCCGGAUUUAUUGGGUUUAAAGGGAGCGUAGAUGGGUUGUUAAGUCAGUUGUGAAAGUUUGCGGCUCAACCGUAAAAUUGCAAUUGAUACUGGCAGCCUUGAGUACAGUUGAGGUAGGCGGAAUUCGUGGUGUAGCGGUGAAAUGCUUAGAUAUCACGAAGAACUCCGAUGGUGAAGGCAGCCUACUAAACUGCCACUGACAUUGAUGCUCGAAAGUGUGGGUAUCAAACAGGAUUAGAUACCCUAGUAGUC
Molecule: ribosomal RNA, 460 nt
Filed under: uncultured bacterium
Lineage: Bacteria
Description: partial 16S ribosomal RNA
Rfam family: Bacterial small subunit ribosomal RNA
Source: RNAcentral